RNAcentral lists this non-coding RNA (24 nucleotides) under Pseudomonas putida. The record is from RNAcentral. Lineage: Bacteria; Pseudomonadati; Pseudomonadota; Gammaproteobacteria; Pseudomonadales; Pseudomonadaceae. RNAcentral also lists the same sequence under 1 other name.
GGUCAAGUGAAGAAGCGCAUACGG